This 550-nucleotide ribosomal RNA is filed under the name uncultured bacterium. Its description in RNAcentral is "bacterial SSU rRNA". It matches the Rfam family "Bacterial small subunit ribosomal RNA", at positions 355 to 896 of the family's 1533-position model. The record is from RNAcentral.
UAGGGAAUCUUCGGCAAUGGACGGAAGUCUGACCGAGCAACGCCGCGUGAGUGAAGAAGGUUUUCGGAUCGUAAAGCUCUGUUGUAAGAGAAGAACGAGUGUGAGAGUGGAAAGUUCACACUGUGACGGUAUCUUACCAGAAAGGGACGGCUAACUACGUGCCAGCAGCCGCGGUAAUACGUAGGUCCCGAGCGUUGUCCGGAUUUAUUGGGCGUAAAGCGAGCGCAGGCGGUUAGAUAAGUCUGAAGUUAAAGGCUGUGGCUUAACCAUAGUACGCUUUGGAAACUGUUUAACUUGAGUGCAGAAGGGGAGAGUGGAAUUCCAUGUGUAGCGGUGAAAUGCGUAGAUAUAUGGAGGAACACCGGUGGCGAAAGCGGCUCUCUGGUCUGUAACUGACGCUGAGGCUCGAAAGCGUGGGGAGCGAACAGGAUUAGAUACCCUGGUAGUCCACGCCAUAAACGAUGAGUGCUAGGUGUUGGAUCCUUUCCGGGAUUCAGUGCCGCAGCUAACGCAUUAAGCACUCCGCCUGGGGAGUACGACCGCAAGGUUG